RNAcentral lists this long non-coding RNA (2289 nucleotides) under Nicotiana tabacum (common tobacco). RNAcentral's name for it is "long non-coding RNA (NTAB_LNC013526)". The record is from RNAcentral. Lineage: Eukaryota; Viridiplantae; Streptophyta; Magnoliopsida; Solanales; Solanaceae.
CUAACUAUAGUUGUUGGUGCUAGGGUUGUACAUGGAUCGGAUCGGAUUUAGUACAUUUUGGAUUGAAAUUUCGGAUUCGGAUUCUACAAAAUACAAUCCGAAUCUGAUCCGAAUUAAAAUCUGAUCGGAUCAGAUUUUAAAGUUUGGAUCGGAUAAAUAUUUUGAAUUGUCGGAUCGGAUUGUACGUAUUAUUAAGGCUAUUGCUAAUUUAUCCUGUAACAUAAUCAACUCCCUCCAUCCUCUCUGACCAUGUACCAUUUCAUCCAUUCUGCACCAACAACAGAAUAAAAAUUUUCAACACUCACCUUAGCAACAUAAAAGGCAAUUAGUGAUCUUAUAAUGCAUAAAAUGUAAGCAUAAUUUUGAUCUUCAUUUAGUAACAAUUUUAGAUCGUUUCAUACCAAAAGAUCUCUGCGGGAAGGUUAGGCAAGCUGAAUUCAUAGGAUUAUUCGAGUCGAUAAAGGAAGAGGCGUCGUCCGGUCGCCGCCGAUAGUCGGAACACAGAGAAGAAGAAUAGAGCAGCAAUCUCUCUAAAGAGAGCAUAGAGAUAGAGAAGCUCGAUGAAAUAAGACCUAACCCUAAAUCUAUACAUAUCCUAAUAAUUUCGGAUUUCGGAUUGGAUCGGGUUAAAAUUAUACCAAUCCGAAUUCAAUCCGGAUAUUCGAAAUUUUAAAAAAACAUAAUCCAUAUCCGAUCCAAAUAUCCGAAUUGAGCUGAUCGGUUCGGAUUCUCGAAUAUCAGAUCCAAAUGCACAACCCUAAACAAUUGAUGUGAGACAAAUUUGAUGGAUACUGCAGAUAUUGCAAAAGGCUUGCAGCAAAAUAAUCACCUACAUAAAGCUAGAGUAAAAAAUGACAAAAACACUUUAUUAAAGAUCAUUCAUACUGUAUUAUUUAGUUUGGAUUCCCAAGUAUAUACUAUGCAACGCUUCAAUUUAAUACCACGUUCCGCGUGAAAUUAAAUCCCUUAAAGGAUUAAAAAAUUACAUUUACAGAUGAACCAAAUAAAAGGUGAUCGGUUCAUAUUGGUACAACUGGAAAAAACUCAACAGCCUUAUCAUAAUUAUGAGUGCUCUUACGUUUUGGUAUACAUACCACAAAAUAUGUUAUAACUUUAUUUAUUGAGUGUUAUCCGUUUAUAAAGACAAAAAUGUGCUCAACUUUAUAUGAUAUUUUAGUCAUUCAACCUUUUAUUUUAGGUGUUUCCACUUUGAAAGAGAUGUCUUCAACUAAUUUAAACUCAAUUCGUGUAUAUUAUAAAUUCUACAUGUUUCUAACUUAUGGGUUUCUUUCUUAAAUGCAUCAGUUACUAUAUAAAUGAUAAAUGGUCAUUAGAUAUAUCAGAAGAAUUGAAUAUACGAUAAGAUUUUUUUUUUCGACUUUUAAAUUUUUUGAACACAAUGAAUUGAUUAAUUAUUUCACUUAUCAUUUAUUGGAGGAUAAUUUACUAUUUAGUGCCAAAAAUUAUUAUAGGAAUAGUAUUCAGAUGAGGGGUAAUAGUGUCGUUUAAUUUUUGAUGUACAUUUUGGCAAUUCUAACUUUACCCUUAAGGUCUUCCCACUUUUAGUAUAAUAUGAUAUGAUGAUAUGAUAUAAUAUAGUACUAGCUCUUUUUAACCCCCAAAAAAACGACUAAUCAAAUUCUGAUGCAAAGUAUUACAGUAGUUCAACAAAGCCCUAAGUUACUCAAUCUUUUAUGUUUCUGUACAAACUUAGCUAGCUUAUAAUAUUACGACUUGGUUGAUAAAAUAUCAUAAAUGAUUACAGAAAACUUCUUACCAAUAUUAUUUAUUUAUAAGUUUAAUCUUUUUCUUCUUGAAAACACAUAUAUGAGUAGUAGUCAGGAAAAACAAAAUUACAUUGCUCUAGUUAAAUGAAAUGUAAUUAAUGUAAAUAUUUGGUAGUACUAAAGUCUUUCCAAAUAUCUUGGGUCAUCAAUGUCUCCUUCCAGCUAUGUAAACAAAUGCAAUAUCUUCCAUAUUAAUUAGAAAACAUCUUCACUUUUGUAUAUAACAUUGCCAUUCCGAGCAACAAAAAGCACUUAUCUACCAAAUACUUUCACCUUGUUUGCAAAUUUGUUGAGGGAAAAAAAUGACAAGGAAGAAAGUGAAGUUAGCUUUCAUAAUUAAUGACUCGGCAAGAAAAGCAACAUUUAAGAAAAGGAAGAAGGGUCUGAUGAAGAAGGUGAGUGAAUUGAGCACCCUUUGUGGAAUUGAUGCUUGUGCUAUUAUUUAUAGCCCUUAUGAAAACCAACUUGAGGUAUGGCCAAACACCAUGGGAGCUCAACGCGU